This 465-nucleotide ribosomal RNA is filed under the name uncultured bacterium. RNAcentral describes it as "partial 16S ribosomal RNA". It matches the Rfam family "Bacterial small subunit ribosomal RNA", at positions 28 to 506 of the family's 1533-position model. The record is from RNAcentral.
GAUGAACGCUGGCGGCGUGCUUAACACAUGCAAGUCGAACGAUGAAGCCCAGCUUGCUGGGUGGAUUAGUGGCGAACGGGUGAGUAACACGUGAGUAACCUGCCCUUGACUCUGGGAUAAGCCUGGGAAACUGGGUCUAAUACUGGAUAUGACUUCUCAUCGCAUGGUGGGGGGUGGAAAGAUUUAUUGGUCUUGGAUGGACUCGCGGCCUAUCAGCUUGUUGGUGAGGUAAUGGCUCACCAAGGCGACGACGGGUAGCCGGCCUGAGAGGGUGACCGGCCACACUGGGACUGAGACACGGCCCAGACUCCUACGGGAGGCAGCAGUGGGGAAUAUUGCACAAUGGGCGCAAGCCUGAUGCAGCGACGCCGCGUGAGGGAUGACGGCCUUCGGGUUGUAAACCUCUUUCAGUAGGGAAGAAGCGAGAGUGACGGUACCUGCAGAAGAAGCGCCGGCUAACUACGU